Molecule: non-coding RNA, 280 nt
Filed under: Paenibacillus polymyxa
Lineage: Bacteria; Bacillati; Bacillota; Bacilli; Caryophanales; Paenibacillaceae
Description: T-box sequence
Rfam family: T-box leader
About the family: Uncharged tRNA acts as the effector for transcription antitermination of genes in the T-box leader family.
Source: RNAcentral
UUUAAUUCGUUGAUGGGAACGAGUACGUCAUGAUUUGUCCCUCAGAGAGUUGGCCUUCCGGUGCAAGCCAACGUUCAGAACAUGACUGAAGAUCCUCCCAGAGAAGUGAGCUGAAGCGCUUAAAUUUAUGGCGUGUGUAAGCAAUCACCGUUUGCCAUGCGUUAUAAUGGCGCCCUGCUGAAGUUGAGUAGGGCUCAGAGAGUCGUGACAAGAUCGUCUUCUUUAGACUGGUCUAAUUACGGAAUCAGGGUGGUAACGCGAGCACAGUCUCGUCCCUUUU